This 69-nucleotide transfer RNA is filed under the name Crotalus ruber (red diamond rattlesnake). Its description in RNAcentral is "tRNA-Val". Lineage: Eukaryota; Metazoa; Chordata; Lepidosauria; Squamata; Viperidae. The record is from RNAcentral.
AGAAACAAAAAGUAGCUUAAAUUAAGCACUCGACCUACACUCGAACGAUAUUAAAUUAAAUCCUUUUGA